AACGAACGCUGGCGGCAUGCCUAACACAUGCAAGUCGAACGAAGGCUUCGGCCUUAGUGGCGCACGGGUGCGUAACGCGUGGGAAUCUGCCCCUCGGUUCGGAAUAACAGUUAGAAAUGACUGCUAAUACCGGAUGAUGACUUCGGUCCAAAGAUUUAUCGCCGAGGGAUGAGCGCGCGUAAGAUGAGGUAGUUGGUGGGGUAAAGGCCUACCAAGCGGACGAUCUUGAGCUGGUCUGAGAGGAUGAUCAGCAACACGGGGACAGAGACACGGGCCAGACUCCGCCGGGAGGCAGCAGUGGGGAAUAUUGGACAAUGGGCGAAAGCCUGAUCCAGCAAUGCCGCGUGAGUCAUGAAGGCCUUAUGGUUGUAAAGCGCUUUUACCAGGGAUGAUAAUGACAGUACCUGGAGAAUAAGCUCCGGCUAACUCCGUGCCAGCCGCCGCCGUAA
RNAcentral lists this ribosomal RNA (449 nucleotides) under uncultured bacterium. RNAcentral describes it as "partial 16S ribosomal RNA". It matches the Rfam family "Bacterial small subunit ribosomal RNA", at positions 29 to 523 of the family's 1533-position model. The record is from RNAcentral.